Molecule: ribosomal RNA, 459 nt
Filed under: Salmonella enterica
Lineage: Bacteria; Pseudomonadati; Pseudomonadota; Gammaproteobacteria; Enterobacterales; Enterobacteriaceae
Description: bacterial SSU rRNA
Rfam family: Bacterial small subunit ribosomal RNA
Source: RNAcentral
AAAUUGAAGAGUUUGAUCAUGGCUCAGAUUGAACGCUGGCGGCAGGCCUAACACAUGCAAGUCGAACGGUAACAGGAAGCAGCUUGCUGCUUUGCUGACGAGUGGCGGACGGGUGAGUAAUGUCUGGGAAACUGCCUGAUGGAGGGGGAUAACUACUGGAAACGGUGGCUAAUACCGCAUAACGUCGCAAGACCAAAGAGGGGGACCUUCGGGCCUCUUGCCAUCAGAUGUGCCCAGAUGGGAUUAGCUUGUUGGUGAGGUAACGGCUCACCAAGGCGACGAUCCCUAGCUGGUCUGAGAGGAUGACCAGCCACACUGGAACUGAGGCACGGUCCAGACUCCUACGGGAGGCAGCAGUGGGGAAUAUUGCACAAUGGGCGCAAGCCUGAUGCAGCCAUGCCGCGUGUAUGAAGAAGGCCUUCGGGUUGUAAAGUACUUUCAGCGGGGAGGAAGGUGUUG